This 460-nucleotide ribosomal RNA is filed under the name uncultured bacterium. RNAcentral describes it as "partial 16S ribosomal RNA". It matches the Rfam family "Bacterial small subunit ribosomal RNA", at positions 338 to 795 of the family's 1533-position model. The record is from RNAcentral.
CCUACGGGGGGCAGCAGUGAGGAAUAUUGGUCAAUGGACGAGAGUCUGAACCAGCCAAGUAGCGUGAAGGAUGACUGCCCUAUGGGUUGUAAACUUCUUUUAUAUGGGAAUAAAAUGUUCCACGUGUGGGAUUUUGUAUGUACCAUAUGAAUAAGGAUCGGCUAACUCCGUGCCAGCAGCCGCGGUAAUCCGGAGGAUCCGAGCGUUAUCCGGAUUUAUUGGGUUUAAAGGGAGCGUCGGUGGAUUGUUAAGUCAGUUGUGAAAGUUUGCGGCUCAACCGUAAAAUUGCAGUUGAAACUGGCAGUCUUGAGUACAGUAGAGGUGGGCGGAAUUCGUGGUGUAGCGGUGAAAUGCUUAGAUAUCACGAAGAACUCCGAUUGCGAAGGCAGUUCACUGGACUGCAACUGACACUGAGGCUCGAAAGUGUGGGUAUCAAACAGGAUUAGAUACCCUGGUAGUC